RNAcentral lists this ribosomal RNA (497 nucleotides) under uncultured bacterium. RNAcentral describes it as "partial 16S ribosomal RNA". It matches the Rfam family "Bacterial small subunit ribosomal RNA", at positions 28 to 507 of the family's 1533-position model. The record is from RNAcentral.
GACGAACGCUGGCGGCGUGCCUAAUACAUGCAAGUAGAACGCUGAAGAGAGGAGCUUGCUCUUCUUGGAUGAGUUGCGAACGGGUGAGUAACGCGUAGGUAACCUGCCUUGUAGCGGGGGAUAACUAUUGGAAACGAUAGCUAAUACCGCAUAACAAUGGAUGACACAUGUCAUUUAUUUGAAAGGGGCAAUUGCUCCACUUCAAGAUGGACCUGCGUUGUAUUAGCUAGUAGGUGAGGUAAUGGCUCACCUAGGCGACGAUACAUAGCCGACCUGAGAGGGUGAUCGGCCACACUGGGACUGAGACACGGCCCAGACUCCUACGGGAGGCAGCAGUAGGGAAUCUUCGGCAAUGGGGGCAACCCUGACCGAGCAACGCCGCGUGAGUGAAGAAGGUUUUCGGAUCGUAAAGCUCUGUUGUAAGUCAAGAACGGGUGUGAGAGUGGAAAGUUCACACUGUGACGGUAGCUUACCAGAAAGGGACGGCUAACUACGUG